CUUGUGUGUCGGGUUCUCUCCUGAGUUAGUUGUUGCAGAUUUAUCAUAGCAGGUUGAUCAACUAGUUCUUGAGGAUUUGGUGCUAGAACAUAUAGUAUGAUAGAUUUUCGUUUUAGCUAUAACAUAGUUGGUACUUUCAAUUUUGAAUCGAAAUAUGCAAUGAUGAUGUAUACUUGAUACUUGGUUCAUUUAGAUGAUAAUGUAUGAAUUUUUUGGAUGA
RNAcentral lists this long non-coding RNA (220 nucleotides) under Salvia miltiorrhiza (redroot sage). RNAcentral's name for it is "long non-coding RNA (SMIL_LNC013954)". Lineage: Eukaryota; Viridiplantae; Streptophyta; Magnoliopsida; Lamiales; Lamiaceae. The record is from RNAcentral.